Molecule: unclassified non-coding RNA, 4422 nt
Filed under: Hevea brasiliensis (rubber tree)
Lineage: Eukaryota; Viridiplantae; Streptophyta; Magnoliopsida; Malpighiales; Euphorbiaceae
Source: RNAcentral
GCUCAAGGUCCUAACAAAGGGUUAAACAAAUGAUAUAGCAACACGUCAAACGUCAAGAUUUCCCUGUACUCAAACAUCCCUGAUUACCACUAGGCUCCGUAUUUUCGGUGGUCUCGUAAAGUGCCCAAAAGGUUCACCUAGCGAACACAGAAAACUUGGAUAGAGCCGGAAAUUAACUCAAUACAAACCCUAAUAGCAGUGUAUGAUCCAAUCCUCUCUCGGCCAUCGGAUCCCCAAAAAGAACACUUACAGGUGCUAGACUUAAUGGAUUCCAACAUGCAAUCUCCAACCCCAGACAACGUUGAGACAAAAGCGGCAUUCCGUAAACCUUCAAAUCAUGUAGCCAAUAGGAAGUACCGUCGCCGAUCUCCUGCUGAUGGAUCAUCUUCAUCUGAAGGGAGUCCUAAGAGUGAACGUGGCACUAGUCCAUUCUCUUCAAGGGGAGAUCCUGCAAAAGCUUCUGAGCAUCAACAUAGAAGGAAGGAUGAGAGAGAAUAUAGGGAUUCUGGUCGUAGUCAGUCUGGCAAAGAUUCAUAUCGACAUUCUGAUCGAUAUUCCUCUAGGAAUUCCCAUGGUUAUUCUAGGCACGAUGAGUACAGCAGACAUGAGAAGCGUGCAGAUGAUGAAGAGAGACAUUACCAGGGAUCAUCCCAUUCCGGUAUGGAAUCAAGGCGUGCUGGUCACUCUGAUCAUACAAGAGAAGAAAGUGAACGUGGUAGGUCAAGAGACUAUGUGCGAAAUGUAGACAAAUACUCCCGUGAUAGAUAUGAUGGUUCAGGGCAUAGAAGUAAGGAUAAAGAGAGAGACUCAUUUUCCCUAGACCGUCAGAAAUUUAGGGAUAAGGAUUCAUCUCCUGACAGAGCUGGCUCUGGUAGGAAACAUACACUCACAACCUCUGAAGAUAAGGAUAGGGACCGGCACAGGCAGGACAGAGAUGGUUGGGAUGAGAAAAGGAAUUAUCAUAGGAGUUCUGGAGACUACAAAAGUGAUCGUCGAAAUGAUUCUGGAAGGGAUCAUGAUGUGCAUCGCUAUAGAGAUUCUUAUAAGGAUGACCAAAAGGAUCUAAACGGUCAAAAGGAAAAGAAGAAACAUGAUGACUGGGAUGCUAACAGGGACAAGGAUAGAUAUGAGCAGAAUGAAGAUAAACCUGUUUUUGGGAGUGAAAAACAAGAGUCUAUAGCUAAAAAGCCCAGGUUAUUUAGCUCUGAAAGGGAUGCUGAUUACAAUAAAGAUGGUGAUGAAAAGCAAUCUUCAAAGCAAGUUGGGGUUGAUGCUAAAGUCAUCGGAGGAGAGGCACAUGUGAAUAACUCGGAGGGUGCCAAUGACCUAAAUGCAGCAAAGGUUGCUGCAAUGAAAGCUGCUGAAUUAGGUACCUGAUGCCUUCAUCUCCAUUUGAUAUCUUAUAUCAGUGCAACUGCUCUAAUGUUCUAUUUUACAUUUACUCUUUUGCACCAUGAUGUGAAAUAAGGGAAGUAAGUGUUCUACAUAACUUGACAAAUUGGGAUUUGAAACAUCUGCUUUGGUUUAUGUCCUUAAGAAGGUUUAGUAGUAGUCUUCUUAUAUUCUUGUAUGAUCCCAGGAAGUAGCUGUUAUAUUGUCUUCAAUCUUAUAUUGGUCUAGGGUUAUUUGUUUUUUCUCUAUGUUAACUAAAGGAUGUUUACUGUGAUAUUGCUCUAGAUGGCUAGAAAUUGUUCUGUACAGGUGAAAUAUUUAUUUUGUUGUUUCUCUGUUAGAAAAAAUGAGCUAUGAGCUUUGACAGUGUUAUGUAACAUACAUUAACUACCUCAACUUUUAGGUGGCUGAUUUUCAUUUUUAGUGCUGGUACUCUAUGUGACUUGGCUUGGCAUCAUAUGGUGUAAAAAAAUAAGACAAGUGUUAGAAUUUAAUUUUUUAUGUGGUAAAUGGAACUUGGAUUAGUUGUUUACAAAUUACUUGAGAUUCCAUUCUAAAAAUCGGAGACUCAAUUAUGUGAAUUAGAAACACAAUCAUUGAGUGGUUGCCAUUAGUAGAGGAUGUCAAAUGUUCAAAUUUGUUGUAUUUUGGAAUUUGUACAUGUGGUGUGUUUGGGCAUUGAUUUAUGAAAGGGGGACAGGUGGGUGGGCUCAUUGUCAGUCUUAAUUUGAAUCUUAACAAUUAUUACUAGGUAGUUGAUAAUGAAUUUGUGGUCUAUGGAUGUGUAUGUAGUCAUAAUAAUGCCACAUAGGAAGGGGAAGAUACUAAUAGAAAGCUGAGAACCAAGUUUAUCUUUGGCUAAUCUUUGUUCUGAGUUAGUCUCUUCAUAGUGAUAUAAGAUUGACUGCAGGACCAAUAUAGAAUGUUGCAAUUACACGUACUGAGGAAUGCAGUGUGGUUAAAAUUGUUAUAAGCACUGAGGUGCAGCACAAAAGGAUCCACCGCUUUUGCCCCCUUCAUGUGAGGUCCAUUUUGUUGGGCACACGCUUGUUGCACUUAAGCCUGUGCCUUGUUUGAAGUGAGAGUUUAGAAUAGUGGUUGCUUUGUUGCAAUUGGUUUCAUCCAUAAGGAUAUUGCAGUCUUCUUGUUUUUCAUUUAGACUUCUACAGAUUCCCAGUUGUUGUCUUUUGCUUUGGGACUCUGAUAUUUCGGAUUUUCCACUUUCGCCUAAUGAGAUAUGUAAUCCUAAUUCUGCAAUAGUGAUCCUCACAGACAGGAUCUUUACACUAUUUUAUCAUAGUCUUCAACAGAUGAGCUUUUGGACUAUCCUGUUUCUACUUGCCUGCUGUAUCUUUUUUGUCUUAUUAUACAUUAAUUCUUUCUUUACAGAACUCAAAUUCAUUCCUGCAUCAUAUACUUCUCAAAAUGACUACAAUUUUUCUUCUUUUUUUUUCAAUUUUUUCCAAUAUUCUAUUAUCAUUUUUUUUAUUAUUCUUUUCUGCCUUCGAAUUUGAUUACGGGUUUUCCUCCCAUCUUUAUAUAUGUUUACUAUUUUAUCUAUUGUCUUUCUUUACCUAAAUUUAAUUACUCAUUAUUUAUCAUUUAUUAAUAUUUUUUUUGAAAUAUCAUUUAUUAAUAUUAGUUGUAGUAAUUUUCUGUAAUAUUUUAAUGAAUUAAUUUUAAAAUUUUGUGUCUUGCUUCAAUCAAGUGAGCUUCUUUUUGGGUGCUCUGCACUUCAAGCGAUAAGAAUACACAUUGCCUUAAGUUUGCUUUUCACUUUUGACUGCCUUGGAAAUGCAAAGAUGCUAGGUGAAGAUUUCCUUGGGGUAAGAGAUGAUGAAAAUUCAACAAUGUUUGUCUAAGGCAUCCCCAUUGUUGUAUUUUCACCCUUGUGUAAAUGAAGCUUUGUUCUUGAAGAGACUACGAGGAUAGAAUUUGAACAUGCGAACCUUGUUUAGUUAGCCUCAAAUCCUGUGGUAUGCAUUGUAGUCCAGACAUGAUAUUCCUUCAAAUCCUGUGGGAAUAAAUUGAUAGUUGUAUUUCAAAUUGAAGCCCAAGGAUACCAUAGAAGUCAUGCGAAAUAAAUUAAUGAUGAUCUUGAGUGUCCUGGAAAGUUUUCUUAAUUGCUAGUUCUUCUGUGCAUAAUUCAGUUAACAGGAACCUCGUUGGGGUGGGUUUUAUGUCGACUGAACAGAAGAAGAAGCUGCUUUGGGGGAACAAAAAGAGCACAGCUUCAGAAGAGUCUGGACACCGGUGGGACACUGCACUGUUUGGUGAUCGUGAAAGACAAGAAAAGUUCAACAAACUCAUGGUAAAUCUUGUUUCCUUCGCCUCAGUUCUUUCUGCUUUAUCAGUAGUUCUGCUGUCGAAUUACGUGAGAAUGAAAAAUCAAAGAGAAGCCAUUAUUGCAUGAUUAUGCAUGAACUGUUCUCUCAGUUAGUUCGCAUACUAACACAGUUUUAGAGUCUGAGGUUGCCUUGGUACCUAUGGCCAAUUGUAGGGUGUAAAGGGCGAUGUGAAGGUAGAGCAAACCGACAACGAAGAUGGCAAUGGUCGUCUCCAGGCAGAGAAGCAGAAGGAAGUCCAGAUGGAUUUAGAGAAGCAGUACACUGCUGGUCUUCGACGAAGAGAUGGCCGCACUGUUGGAUUGGGUCUUUGAGUGUCUCUGUAAGAUCAUUUUGCACUCUCACAACAAUACUUUCUGACAUUUUGUUGUUCUCUUUUGCGAGAAUCAUGACUCUCAUGGCUUUGUGCUCUUGUAAUGUUGGAGAGAACAUGCAAUUUAUUUCUGGACGUAUCAUAGUUCUGCAAAAUGGUUUGUUUGUGGUCUCUGAAGUGGUUCAAUGAGCAUGUAAAAUACUUCCAAUGAGUGAUGCUGAUUCUUGCCUUGACCAUGAGUAGACCUGGCAAUGUCAAAUGGGUUUGGGUUUUUGGGUCAUAAAUGAGACACGAUUAAUAUAAGGAUUUAAUUGGAUAAGAGUCGCUUAAUUUGAUAAGUUAUGUUCAUUUUUUUAAUCUGGUUAACAGGUU